GGAAGGACUGUAGUUCAGUGGUAGAGCAUCUGCCUUGCGUGCAGAAGGUCGCAGGUUCAAUCCCUGGUGUCUCCA
This is a non-coding RNA of Podarcis lilfordi (Lilford's wall lizard), 75 nucleotides long. Lineage: Eukaryota; Metazoa; Chordata; Lepidosauria; Squamata; Lacertidae. The record is from the annotation of a GenBank genome assembly.